GCAUUUGGUAGAAAUUGCAUGAACAUUAUUUUAUUUAAAAAAUACUUUCCAAGGGAAUUCACAAUCAGCUAAAAUACAGCCUCAAAUAUAAGCAUGUACAUUUUUAAUGUGUCAUACAUACACAACAGUUAUUUACUGCUACUUCAGAGAAUUCCAUAAGGUUAAACAACUCUAAAUAAGAUGACAGGCUUAUUAUUCAAAUGUAUUAAAUGUCCUCAAAUCAACUUGUCUAAAAUAUAUUUAAUUUUAUGCUUCAAUCUAUUCACUUUAGUUGCUUCAGCACAGAUUCUUGGGGGUCUUUUAGUAAAUUUAAUCUCAAUUUNNNNNNNNNNNNNNNNNNNNNNNNNNUGAAAUGUUAAUAUGCAAAUGAAUAUUUUUCUGUAAGGCCACAGUAUCAUUAAAGAGAACAAAUAUGAUGUGAUUUUUAAAUCCUCUACUAUAAAUAAAAAUAUGAAGCCUUAUGUCACUGACAUUUAUUUUAGUCUUUGUUCUAUUUUAUUUGCAUAUUUUAAUCAAGUAGUCAUAGACAAAAGGGUGUACACUGAUAUGAAAGUUAAUUUAGCAGCCGGGUUGUAUGAGGGUUACCUUACUAGGUAGCCUAGAUAAUGAAGAUGGCCGGUGGCAAUUGGCCUGUUCCUUGGCAGUGUUCUUUCAUAGUCUUUGUGUUGCUGGUGGUGAGUGAAAGACGUUUGUGUUGAGCAAAGUCUGACUCCAGCUGUGUGACCCAGCUCAGGGCCAUGGAAACUCAACCUCGUCCUUCUCUCUGCCAGAGUAUCUCAGUUUAGAACAAAUGGCCUGGAAAGUUUCCGUCUAGUUGCUUCUGCCACCCCCAACCCUGUCCUACCUGGAUUUUGAGGUCAAAAAACAGGCCAGUUUAUGUAGUGAGCUCAUCCCCCUAAAGGUGAAGGGAGUUACACAUACCGCUUUUGAGAACACAGGAUUAGCUUGGAAGCUCACUGAGUUUAGCUACUACCCUGCACCAAUGUUUCAGAUUCAGCUUUUAUUGAUUCUCUCUUAUGAAACAUUAUGGGAAGAGGUAGAAUUCAGCUAUGGGUGGUGCAGGUCAUUUAUUUCAGGCUUUCUAUCUAGCAGCUUUCUUUUUUUUUUUUUUUUAAUUUCCCUUAUUUAUCUCCCUCCCCUGCAAAGGGAAAGGAACAUAGGUUUGCUUGUGAAAACAUUUAACUCCUUAUACACUGUGUUUCAUUGGCAGAUAAUAAUGAAUGUCAAGAGCUAUGAACAAAGAGAGGUCCUUUGGACCAAGGUUGAGGCAGCUGAAGACAAGAUUUCUCGAGCAAGGGGUUUUCUCAGGGGAUUAAGGGAUGGUGCUAACAAGAACUAA
Molecule: long non-coding RNA, 1339 nt
Filed under: Capra hircus (goat)
Lineage: Eukaryota; Metazoa; Chordata; Mammalia; Artiodactyla; Bovidae
Description: lncRNA (ENSCHIG00010010335.1)
Source: RNAcentral